CUGCAGCCAAUGGAGCCGACCGUGCUGGGGCCUCCUCCCCGUGGCGCCCGGUGUGCAGCGGCUGCAAACAGCAGCCUCCUGGGCAGUGUGCAGCCUGUUGCUUGUACAGGCUGCCCUAAGGGGCCCUGGAGACAGCC
Molecule: small nucleolar RNA, 137 nt
Organism: Erinaceus europaeus (western European hedgehog)
Lineage: Eukaryota; Metazoa; Chordata; Mammalia; Eulipotyphla; Erinaceidae
Gene: SNORA70
Rfam family: Small nucleolar RNA SNORA70
About the family: snoRNA U70 seems to be exclusive to mammals and is a member of the H/ACA class of snoRNA which contain H (ANANNA) and ACA box motifs. H/ACA box snoRNAs are involved in the conversion of uridines to pseudouridines (5-ribosyluracil) a constituent of structural RNAs (transfer, ribosomal, small nuclear, and small nucleolar).
Source: Ensembl